CAGCCGCCACGGUAAUACGAAGGGUGCAAGCGUUAAUCGGAAUUACUGGGCGUAAAGCGUGCGUAGGCGGUUUGUUAAGUCUGCUGUGAAAUCCCCGGGCUCAACCUGGGAAUGGCAAUGGAUACUGGCGAGCUAGAGUGUGUCAGAGGAUGGUGGAAUUCCCGGUGUAGCGGUGAAAUGCGUAGAGAUCGGGAGGAACAUCAGUGGCGAAGGCGGCCAUCCGGGACAACACUGACGCUGAGGCACGAAAGCGUGGGGAGCAAACAGGAUUAGAUACCCCGGUAGUCCCUGUCUCUUAUAC
RNAcentral lists this ribosomal RNA (301 nucleotides) under uncultured bacterium. Its description in RNAcentral is "partial 16S ribosomal RNA". It matches the Rfam family "Bacterial small subunit ribosomal RNA", at positions 509 to 807 of the family's 1533-position model. The record is from RNAcentral.